This 207-nucleotide long non-coding RNA is filed under the name Ricinus communis (castor bean). Its description in RNAcentral is "long non-coding RNA (RCOM_LNC003755)". Lineage: Eukaryota; Viridiplantae; Streptophyta; Magnoliopsida; Malpighiales; Euphorbiaceae. The record is from RNAcentral.
ACCUUGUGGACCGUCACUGCUUGCGCUCCCCCACUCUUUGCCAACGCGGUCUUGCACAAAUUGAGCUCCACCUCGAGCUUAUCGACCUUCUCUAGGCAUUGGACAAGCAACUUCUUGAGAGCCUCAUUAUCCCUUGAUAAAUUGUCGGCGAGAACAUUCAAGGCACCUUGCAUCUCCUCGCGAAGCUCUCCGUCGUCCCCCUUGGAC